GAACCUGCCGUAUACUGGGGGAGUAACACUUAGAAAUAGGUGCUAAUACCGCAUAAGCGCACAGCUUCGCAUGAAGCAGUGUGGAAAACAAAAAGCUAAAGCUUUUGGUGGUAUACGAUGGAUCCGCGUCUGAUUAGCUAGUUGGCGGGGUAAAGGCCCACCAAGGCGACGAUCAGUAGCCGGCCUGAGAGGGUGAACGGCCACAUUGGGACUGAGACACGGCCCAAACUCCUACGGAAGGCAGCAG
RNAcentral lists this ribosomal RNA (247 nucleotides) under uncultured bacterium. Its description in RNAcentral is "partial 16S ribosomal RNA". It matches the Rfam family "Bacterial small subunit ribosomal RNA", at positions 122 to 354 of the family's 1533-position model. The record is from RNAcentral.